GCCGCAUUGUGGUCUAGUGGUUUAGAACUACUCCCCUAACUCACGGUUGAUCUCGACGUCCCGGGUUCGAUUCUCGCUGCGGCG
Umbelopsis sp. AD052 is the source of this 84-nucleotide non-coding RNA. The record is from the annotation of a GenBank genome assembly. NCBI's taxonomy places the organism in Eukaryota, Fungi, Mucoromycota, Umbelopsidomycetes, Umbelopsidales, Umbelopsidaceae.